Molecule: non-coding RNA, 3613 nt
Organism: Camellia sinensis
Lineage: Eukaryota; Viridiplantae; Streptophyta; Magnoliopsida; Ericales; Theaceae
Source: RefSeq, a predicted model, not a curated record
AGAAAUAUUCAGUUUGAGAAACAAUGAAGAAGAAGGAGGACAACAUUUCUGUCGUGGUCAAAACGAGACCAGUCUAGGUCGACCAAUCAUAUUCUGAGACUAUGCCGUCUUUCAUAGCCCACUUUUUCUUCUUCAUUAGUAAAAAAAUUUAUUAUUAGACAAAUAACAGCCAAAGAGUAUCUAGUUCCCAUUCAUCCACAAGCAGUGCCGGACCCAGAAAUUGUGCAAAGGAGGGACCAAGGGUCUCCUAUUGAGAAGUCUUGGGCAUCCUGGGAAAGUUGAGGUUCCUCUAAGGUACAUUUUAUGCUUGGUUGGAUUGCACCAUAUUCCUUUCCACUCUGGUAGUCUGCUAUCUAUUAAUGUUUCUUCAUACAGAUGAUGCUCCUCCAUUACACAAAGUAUGGCAUGAGCAAGUUUAUUCCCACAGCUAUCUGUCUUAUCUGGAUCUGAGAAAAUUAUUUUGGAGACAAAGCUGUAAUCUAACAAUUGUGAGGCUGUUAGAUAACACGUUUUGCCCCUAAUCUCUAUCUCCAAUGGCUUGAAUGUUGCUAGAUUUAUCUGGCAAAGGCAGAUGCUGAAAUCUAAAUUACACUGACAUCAGCCAAAAUGUUCUGACCUCUUAUUGCAUUUUUCUUCUUCUAAGCAGGGCUGCUCUUCAUAUUCAUAGGUAUAGAUCCAUUGAUAAGCUAUGCCAGGGCAUUCAACUCCUGCUAUGGAGAGGUCUUGAAGAAACUGUUGUAUGGUGACUAGCUCACUAUUUCUACUAUCUUCGGCUAAGGUGUAUAUAUAGGGCUUUAGGUCCUCUAUUACUUGGCUUUUCUCACAAAAAGAUCGAAUGAUAGAAUGUCUGAAGAAAUACAUUCUAGCACUCAAUUGUUCAAAUUCCUCACUGGUGAGUUGUCUGAUUUCUUGGUCAGGAAAGGGGGCAGUUGUUUUUCCUGGAGCUAAUUUUUUAAGCUGGAUGGUUAGGGUUCGAAUGGUGGCUCUCAGUUGUUUUUCUUCGUCUCGGAGCUGGUUUAGCUCUUCACUGACCUUUUUGCCUUUAUCCAUAAUUUUCUUGAAAUUUCUGGUAAGCCUUCACAAUGUCGGCACAUCUAGAGAGGAUUUUGGGAAUCUAUUUUAGGGUUAGAACUACUACUUCCAGUACUACUGCUUCCAAUUAUAUGGCUAACUGAAACUCCACUAGUAGCAAGAAUGGUUAACCUCAUCUUGCUCAAUGUGUCCAAGUAAUCUUUAGCUAUUUGACUGAUAAAGUAACUGGUUCCUAUUUGUCUAUAGGUACUGGCUGACUCAAAAUCAUAAAAAACCUUUAUACUGUGGUAUGGAAAAAAAAAUUUAACUAAGGAUUCAACUUUUAUCCAGUCAUGGUAAAUACCAGGCUUGGUUCCUUUAGCUACUACAUAGAAAGAAAAACUUUUAGACAAAGGCUUAUUUUGGAUUUUUGAAAAAUAUAUACUAAGACAGUUUAGGGCUGACAGACGUUUAGCUGGGUGGCUAUGACUGUUCCAAAUGUUAUCUAAAAGACAUUGUUGAACCGAGUCUAGCUCAAUUCCUGUUAAUGGUCUGAACUUGUUUCUGCCUUCAUGAAUGGGAAGAGAAAAUCGCCCAAAAUUCAUGGUUUUGCUGUUCUCCAUUAUCUGCACAAAAAUUAAAUUGGUUAUUUUCUUUUUCUAGAUAAAUUUUCCUACUUAACCAAUCUGUUAACCUAUUAUUACUCCCUUUAAUAUGUUCAAAUUCUACUUUAUAUCCUUGUCCUACUAUACAAUUUAAAAAUUUUGCCCAUCUUCUAGUACUUAAUUUGCGGUCGGUAAGUUUAUUAUGAAAUCUAACUAUAGCUUCACAGUCUGUUAUAAUUGUAAACGGUUUAUGCAAAAAUAAUCUAAAUUUGUUUAUUGCAUAUACUACUCCUAAUAUUUCAAAAUCUAGGCUGAUCAUGGUCGUAUCUUUUUCUUUAAAUUUUUCAGAACUGUAUCUACAAAUGCGCUCUUUAUUUUUACUAUCAUAUUUACUAGGUUUAGCUAAUAAUAUUGCUCCCCAUCCUAAUUGACUUACAUCUGUUUCUAUAACUAUAUAUUCUGACUCUAAGGGAAAUUGUAGGUCUGGUAAAUUUCUACAAAUGUCUUUAAUUUUUCUAACUAGGGUUAUAUCUUGUUGAUUGAAAUAUUUUUGUCAUGUGGGUGUGGUCUUACUAUAUAGAGGUCAUACUAUUUUACUAAGGUUAGGAAUAUACAUUCGUGCAUAAUUUAAAAUUUCUAAAAAUGAUUUAAGCUGCUUUGUAUCUUUUAAAAUUUUCUUAACUAUGUGAGGUUGUAACCUAAUUUUUCCAUCUCCUAACUCCAUUCCUAAAAAUUCUAUAUGAAGCUUAUUUAAUACCAUCUUUUUCUUGCUAAUUAUUAUUCCGUUAUUUAUGAAUUCUUCUAGUGUUAUAUAUAAAUGAUCUAUAUGACUAUUUUUAUCUGGACUGAAUACUAAUAUGUCAUCUAUGUAUACCAACAUAAAACUAUAUUUAUUAAAUAUACUAUUCAUCUUACGCUGAAAUAUAGAAGGUGUAUUUUUUAGUCCAAAAGGCAUGACUAGCCAUUCGUAAUGUCCCUGUGGGCAACAAAAGGUUGUCCAAGGUAUGUUUUCCUUUUCCAUUUUUAUCAGUCAAAAUCCCAACUUGCAAUCAAAUUUACUAAAUAUUUUUGCUGCAUGUAUUCUGUUUAUGAGCUGACCUUUAUCUGGUAUGUUGUAUUUAUCAUCUUUUGUGCUAUCAUUUAAUCUUUUAUAAUUUAUAACCAUUCUAGCUUUUUCUCUUUUUAUCUCUGCAUGAUUUCUAACCAUAAAUGCGGCGCUCCUAUGCGGACUAUUACUAGGUCUAAUUACUCCUAAAUCUAGUAAUUCCUUAAUCUGUGUUCUAAAUUCUUCUAUAUCUGCUGGCGUAUGGUCUAUUUGUGCUGAGGUAAUCCUAUAAUCUUUAUUUUUUAUAUCUAAACUGGCUAAAACUUUAUUUCUUUCCCAAUACUUCAUGGGCUGUUCUCCUAAAAUCUCUGUUGUUUCAGCUAAUCUUAUUAUCUCAUCUAAAUCAUUUUAUGUUCUUCUGUAUAUUGAUUUUUUCUUUAAUUUUUCUAUUUUUGCAAAAAUUAAUUCUAAGUUAACUGUUUGUUGAAAAUCUUCUAGGUUCCAAUAGUCUCCCUUAUCUUCAAAAUCAAACUUUCCUAAACCUUCUAAUUCAUAAUUUUCUAUGUCUAAAUUUUCUAAAGAAGUGUUUAUUAUCUCAUCAGGAAUAUACUUUUGGGCUAGCUCGGGAAAAAUAUUUCUACUAGGAAAUAAAAAACUAGCGAGAACUGAAUCUACUCCUAUGGUACCACCACGCUUCGCACGCAAUUCUGAUGAAUGGGCUAUGGUGCUAAGGGAAUAUGUUGUGGGUGUAUGUACAGUUCGCUCGAAGAAACUAUUGUUGUGUUGGCUGAUAAACAUGCCACCUUGUAGGCUAAGUAUGAAGUUAAGUCCUAAGAUAAAAGGAUGAUUUUGUCGUGUAUUCCCAAUUCAAACUUGAGGUAAUGGGAACCAUUCUUUAUGUUGAUCUUGAGAACCUAGAUGAUGAAAACUAAUCUAUGCGCCGUUAAUGCAA